This 277-nucleotide unclassified non-coding RNA is filed under the name sea anemone metagenome. Its description in RNAcentral is "partial contains small subunit ribosomal RNA and internal transcribed spacer 1". The stretch from base 1 to 154 matches the Rfam family "Eukaryotic small subunit ribosomal RNA", at positions 1678 to 1831 of the family's 1831-position model. The record is from RNAcentral.
GCACCUACCGAUUGAAUGGUUCGGUGAAAAUCUCGGACUGCGGCUUGGAUGCCUUCGGGCAACCAAGCUGUGGAAAGUUGUUUAAACCUCAUCAUUUAGAGGAAGGUGGAGUCGUAACAAGGUUUCCGUAGGUGAACCUGCAGAAGGAUCAAGAUCGGAAAAACGUCGGGGAAGGGAAGAGGUUAAAAUCCGGGGGGUGCCGUAACAUUAAAAAAAAAAAAAAAAAAAGUCUAGAGACAACAUCACCACGUAACAAAACAAGACGUGUAGACGUAGG